UACAGGCUUUGACGGGAAGUUUCUGCCCACAUAAAACGGGGAGGAGGAAGAAAAGUGCCAGUCAAGAGGACACUCAGGUAACAAAGCUUUCAAAGUGGUUAAAAUAAAGUGUAAAAUGUGUGAAUUUACCUGAAGAGUUCAAAGUGAAGGUUAUUCUUUGUCAGGGAAGCUUGAAUCCAUAAAAAAGUGUACACAAUACUUUAUAUGACAGACAAUGAAAUGAAGGUGGAGAGUCAUAAAUAACUCAGAUCCCUGGAUGGUAAUGAAGAAAGGCCGUAAACCCAGCUCUCUAAAACAUGUCCACCAAAGCAUAAAUCAGGUCUAUAAAGCUGUGUUUAAAUAUUCUUUUUAUCUCUUUCAACUCUUCUUCAUCUUAUAUUUUAGAUCUUUUUUUAAUAAAUACUGAACAUGUUAUUUAACAGUUGGUUAAUGCUGAUUAAUGUGUGGUUUAUUUGAAUGGUAGUUGGUUCUCAUUAAACAGAAUCAUGUGAAUCUUACUAAAUAUUAAUUGUUAUAAUUAUAAAUUGAAUAUGUUGAGUUUCGUUGGACAUGUAUUAACCUUGAUGUACGCAUUUUAUUUUGUUGUGUAGCUUUGUUGAACAAAAAUCACUAUGACAACACACCUGCCUAUGUAAAGCUGGACAAAGCAACAUUAUUAUUGAUCUUAUAUAAAUUUAUCAUAUCAACAUUAGGUAUUUUAGCAGUAUGAAUAUAUCUUUGAGCUUCAGAGGGGUGAUGAGUAAGUAUUAACUGGUGUUAUCAAGAAUGUAAUACUAUUCAAAAACAUGACUGGAGUAAUAAAAUAAAGCAGCUGCCAGAAAUGACCAUGUCUACCUAAAGGUCUCUGGGUACCCCCGUGCUUUUUAGGAUAGCCGUGUUAUUUCUACCCUGAUGUCCAGAUGUCCUCGGUGACGACUCAGCGUUGGUUGUCUGCAGGGUUCAAAACCUUGACCUUGACCUCACUGCAACGUCACAAGUUCAGUCCCAGCUGCCACGGGGUCGUCAAGGGCAGGUCUUUCUCUGUCGUUGCUCUCUUAGAUGCAAAAAGAAAGUUUAGCUGUGAUAGCUGAGGUCAGGAAAAAUCAGGUUUACUGUUUCAAGAUCAGCAUCCAACAGUUAGGAGAAAACUAAAUGAAUCAGAUUUAAAACUGCGCAGCACCAACCUCCUUAAACGUUGGUUAUUUAUUCAACCCCUGCAUUAGGUGGCAAGUGAUUUUCAUAUUAACAUGCAAUUUACUUGAAUUGCACAAUAAUUGAUUUCAAUUUUUAGUGGAUUAAAAUAUAUGAUCAAAAUGUUUAAUUUGUUCAUAGAUGAAGAUAUAAGGGUGUAUUGUUAUGGCUGCUGCAAUCACAAUCAAGAGGCCACAUCUAAUACUGAACAUAAAAACAUUUAGGGGAAUAAAAACUCAUAAAAAUACUGAAAAAACUUUCUAAAAGGGGCUAAAACUUACAACUCAAGCAUUAAAAGAUAUUUUAGAAAUGAAACAAAAAUGCAGUAUGAGGAAAAUUGGACUUUUAAUGUAAUAAAAAUAUGAACUGCUCAAAAAGGAUGAAUAAACAGUGCAGCCUGCAUGAAUAAAUGUACAAAUACCAGCAUUAAGCCUGUAUAUUUGUGUUUUUAUUCCUCCUGUCCUUGAUUUUUUUUCUAGUUAGAUAUUUCCUUUAGUCCUCAACAUUCAUCUUUCAGACUUCAUUGAAGGGCUGCAACAAUUGAUGCAUCGUUUCUACUUUAUUUUCAGGUAGUUUAAACUCUUUUUAAAGUGAUACUUUUAUAAAGCAAACCUCUCAGGGUUCCAGCUCCAGCUCCUUAAAGAGAUACUACGAUGGUGCAGUAAAAAUGCUGUAAAGCAAGUGAACUGAGGAUGCUAAUCUGAGCUGUAUGACACACUGAAGAUCAAGUGAUAAAUGUAGUUCUUGUAACAAUAAUCCGGAAGUAGUUUGGUGAUUGAUCUUAUACAAAUCUGCUGCAAAAAAAGGACAAGAUGUUGGUUUAGGUACAGGAGGACAAAGAAAGUUUUGCAAUGGCCUGAUGAAGACCAUCAAGUUCGAAUGUUGUGAUCGUUCAACUUUAUAUUUGCAUCAAGUGUUGUAGGGAAAAUAAUCGUGGUUUUAACGUCGUGUUUGUCUGGUUCAUUUUCUCCUUUUAAGAUUUUUUUUUGUUUCACCUUUAAUGACGCUAACAAUGUCGGUUUCCCCUGCUUGUCCUCCAUCUUUCACCUUAAUAUAACUUUUAUUAGACGGGGAGGAGGAAUCACUCUCCCAGAUGCUGCUGUGAGCUGAGCUUCAUCACCUGCUGCUGCUGCUGCUGCCCAUACACACACUCACAUGCACACUAAACACACACACCCAUACAGAUGCCCCCCUUUUCUGGGUUGCAGUCUCAACUCCGUCGCCAUGGAAACAGCUAAGAUGCCGUGUGCUGGAGAAGUAAAAAUGGGUGUGUGUGUGUGUGUGUUUAGCCAGUGAAGGUAUAGAGAAAUCUUCUGAAGGACACAUAUAGAUUAAAGGUGAGUGUGUUUUAUUGACGCUGUUUAUGAAUCCCACACACAUCUCCUUUUUUUUACCCCGACACGCAAAAAUCUUCCACUUUUCUGCGACUUCUUAGACGUUUUUCCUCACUCUUUUCACCUCUCCUCUUUGACAGCCUCCUCCUCUCUUUUUGUUUCCUCUUGCUCACCUGCUCGCUGAGACCCUUUAGUCGCACACAUUCACUUUGAGCACCUUACAUUUCAAUGACAGCCUAAAAAUAUUUUUUUUUUCGCUGUAAGUGACCCCCAGAGGGAAUCAAGCAUCCUAAACGCCUGCCUACUCUCUCUCUCCAUCUCUGUCUCUCUCUCUCUCUCUCACCCUUUUCUUUCUCCUCUCUAAAUAGCCAGAUGGGCCAGAGCUUCUUUUAUUCUGGAGGCCCGGUGCACGUGCCGAGGACACAGGGCCUCACAGCGUUUAAUUCACAAGCUUUAGACACCCCCUUCUUUUAACCCCCCGUGACCAACAGCAUCACCCACCUCCCUCUCCGACUCCACUCACUCUCACUCUGUAUUUUGUCCCUCCUGGCCUCCACUAUUCUAGUCGACUCUAUUAUCUCUUCCUCAAUUACACUCUUCUUGCCUCUGCUUUGUCCUUUUUAUUGUCAAGUUUCUUGUCAUCUUUAUUUUUUUAUAUGAUCUUCUCUCUAUCAUAAGAUCUUUUUUUAUUAUCUUCUUUGCCAAACCUGCUCCACUCCCUCUUGUAUUUUCUUAACUUCCACACAAGAAGGUGUCACUUUGCGUAUCAUAUUUUAUCUCCUAUAAUACCUCACACAUAAGGUUGACUCUAGUUUUUCUGUGACAUGCUGUUUUUAUCUGCUACUUUUCCAAUACAAAGUCCAAGACAAUUGAAAAAUUUGACAAGAGGAUCAAAUCUUCUGAUGGGUUUGGAGGUAAGAGCGCAAAAGCAGCUUUUUAAAAAGUUUUUGUUUAUUUUCAGAGACAAAAUACUUAAAAAAUACUUAUUCAAAAAGUUAAAAGAUUUGUAUUUUUAAACUUGUACUUUGUCUUUCUGAUCACUCAAAGUGCUUUUACUCACGCUGAUUGCAGAGGCUGCUAAAGUAGGAGACCACCAGUGUGUCCAUUCACAUGCAUUAACACUCAACUGACAGGGUCACAGAGAGCAAGCUGGAGUUCACCGUCUUGCCCGAGGACACUUUGGUACGUGACUGCAAGAGCUGGGAUCAAACCGACAACCUUGCAACUGAGAGAUUACCUACUCAUGCAUCAGCCCCCAAAAGGCUCUGAAAGGUACUUUAACCCCCAACACAUACAGUGGAAUACUGCAGUAACUCAUGUUCACAGAUGAUGGUCAUUAUUAUGCAGAAAUAAAAUGAAAGUGUAUGCUUAUUUUCAAACCAGAUUUCAGUUUUAAUGCCCUUAAACCCUGAAGAAUAAACUGUUUAUCCCCCAUUGAAAAAGUGCUGCAAAUACACAGAUAUUGUUUUUUCAUUUUACAGAUGGAGAACAUGGUGGAGGGGAGGGGGGGGGCACAAGUCCAAGCCGAGUGCUGGUUGAACUGCAGCCUGCAGGCUCGUUUGACCUCCUCCUCCUCCUCCUUCUCCUCCUCUUCCUCACACAGAGCACAUGAAUCUGACAGAGAGAUGCUUCAGCUUCCAUCCCUCUCACACACAUUGACCUUAGACACAGUGACUGAUGUUUAAAAACAGGCCUUUUACCAGCUGAGCGCCUGCCUUAAAGGGCUGAACUGG
Molecule: non-coding RNA, 4237 nt
Organism: Xyrichtys novacula (pearly razorfish)
Lineage: Eukaryota; Metazoa; Chordata; Actinopteri; Labriformes; Labridae
Source: the annotation of a GenBank genome assembly